This 610-nucleotide ribosomal RNA is filed under the name uncultured bacterium. RNAcentral describes it as "bacterial SSU rRNA". It matches the Rfam family "Bacterial small subunit ribosomal RNA", at positions 338 to 947 of the family's 1533-position model. The record is from RNAcentral.
CCUACGGGAGGCAGCAGUGAGGAAUAUUGGACAAUGGGCGCAAGCCUGAUCCAGCCAUGCCGCGUGCAGGAAGACGGUCCUAUGGAUUGUAAACUGCUUUUGUACGGGAAGAAACACUCCUUCGUGAAGGAGCUUGACGGUACCGUAAGAAUAAGGAUCGGCUAACUCCGUGCCAGCAGCCGCGGUAAUACGGAGGAUCCAAGCGUUAUCCGGAAUCAUUGGGUUUAAAGGGUCCGUAGGCGGUUUAGUAAGUCAGUGGUGAAAGCCCAUCGCUCAACGGUGGAAUGGCCAUUGAUACUGCUAGACUUGAAUUAUUAGGAAGUAACUAGAAUAUGUAGUGUAGCGGUGAAAUGCUUAGAGAUUACAUGGAAUACCAAUUGCGAAGGCAGGUUACUACUAAUGGAUUGACGCUGAUGGACGAAAGCGUGGGUAGCGAACAGGAUUAGAUACCCUGGUAGUCCACGCCGUAAACCGAUGGAUACUAGCUGUUGGGGGCAACGUUCAGUGGCUAAGCGAAAGUGAUAAGUAUCCACCUGGGGAGUACGGUUCGCAAGAAUGAAACUCAAAGGAAUUGACGGCGNGAGAGNGCGAGACGACGACGAGGAGGAGG